RNAcentral lists this long non-coding RNA (860 nucleotides) under Dermacentor andersoni. RNAcentral describes it as "uncharacterized LOC126530863". Lineage: Eukaryota; Metazoa; Arthropoda; Arachnida; Ixodida; Ixodidae. The record is from RNAcentral.
GUCGGCGCGCGUUUUGUUUCGCUGGUGAAUGCGCGGAAUGCAACGAUGAGCGAGCCUCUCUCCCAUGGCUACCUGAAGUCAGACGAUAAGCUUUUUGAGAGGUCCUUGGCUGCCGUCAACGAGAGGUAUGCUGUGCGGACAUCAGGAGACCUGAACAAGCCGUCUAAAUCCAAUGUCGUCUUCUCCACAAUCCACUGCGGAUGUCAAAUCCCUCUGGGGAAUGUGCCAUUUCGAGUUGUGAAGGAAACAGUCAGUCUGAAAGUUCGGAAUGGAAUACUACAACAAGACUCAGGGAGAAAAAGACCAGGAUUCAAGCACCACUGACCACUGACUGGCCGAAGGAGGUGUACGAGAAAAAGUAAAUGAACCUACAAGGUGCAAAAAAGAGGGUUCAUGAGACUUUUCCCCUUUCCGUAGAACGGCUAUGUAGUACGCACCAUACUAACGACUGAUGCACCAUACAUCAGGUCGCAUGUUUUCGUUACAUGAUGGGCAAAAACUAGACAGCUCAACAUUGACUGUUUCGAGUUCCACGAUACUAAAGUACAUGUUGAGACUAAUUGAAAAAUACUAGCUGAUAAAUGCUAAGUUUAGACGAUUGCCUAUUUUCUUGUGAAUUCCUGUUCUUUAUGCAACCCCUUUUUAUAUCCCCAUUCCAAUAGGGUGCCAUUGAAAAAUGUUUUAAGUCUGGAUAAUGAAACAGCUCCCUCAAGUCACUAGUAUCAGUAUGUAUACCUAAACAUUUCGCUGAAAGCGUAGUUCUCAUAAUUGCCCUCGAAAAUGGCCAGUUUGCCCAGCCUCUAAUUCCAGUCACAACUGUUGAAGUACACUUGGCGAAAUUGCUCUACUGUACGUGUAGG